RNAcentral lists this ribosomal RNA (447 nucleotides) under uncultured bacterium. Its description in RNAcentral is "bacterial SSU rRNA". It matches the Rfam family "Bacterial small subunit ribosomal RNA", at positions 355 to 825 of the family's 1533-position model. The record is from RNAcentral.
UGGGGAAUCUUGGACAAUGGGCGCAAGCCUGAUCCAGCCAUGCCGCGUGGAUGAUGAAGGCCCUAGGGUUGUAAAAUCCUUUCGUUGGGGACGAUAAUGACGGUACCCAAAGAAGAAGCUCCGGCUAACUUCGUGCCAGCAGCCGCGGUAAUACGAAGGGGGCUAGCGUUGUUCGGAUUUACCGGGCGUAAAGCGCGUGUAGGCGGGUCGUUAAGUUGGGGGUGAAAUCCCGAGGCUCAACCUCGGAACUGCCUUCAAAACUGGCGACCUGGACUCAAGUAGAGGCAAGUGGAAUUGCGAGUGUAGAGGUGAAAUUCGUAGAUAUUCGCAGGAACACCAGUGGCGAAGGCGGCUCACUGGACCAUUACUGACGCUGAGGUGCGAAAGCGUGGGGAGCAAACAGGAUUAGAUACCCGUGUAGUCCCUGAGCGGGCUGGCAAGGCGCAU